This 460-nucleotide ribosomal RNA is filed under the name uncultured Streptococcus sp. Its description in RNAcentral is "bacterial SSU rRNA". It matches the Rfam family "Bacterial small subunit ribosomal RNA", at positions 920 to 1382 of the family's 1533-position model. The record is from RNAcentral. Lineage: Bacteria; Bacillati; Bacillota; Bacilli; Lactobacillales; Streptococcaceae.
CCCGCACAAGCGGUGGAGCAUGUGUUUAAUUCGAAGCAACGCGAAGAACCUUACCAGGUCUUGACAUCCCGAUGCUAUUUCUAGAGAUAGAAAGUUACUUCGGUACAUCGGUGACAGGUGGUGCAUGGUUGUCGUCAGCUCGUGUCGUGAGAUGUUGGGUUAAGUCCCGCAACGAGCGCAACCCCUAUUGUUAGUUGCCAUCAUUCAGUUGGGCACUCUAGCGAGACUGCCGGUAAUAAACCGGAGGAAGGUGGGGAUGACGUCAAAUCAUCAUGCCCCUUAUGACCUGGGCUACACACGUGCUACAAUGGUUGGUACAACGAGUUGCGAGUCGGUGACGGUGAGCUAAUCUCUUAAAGCCAAUCUCAGUUCGGAUUGUAGGCUGCAACUCGCCUACAUGAAGUCGGAAUCGCUAGUAAUCGCGGAUCAGCACGCCGCGGUGAAUACGUUCCCGGGCCUU